CUGAAACUGAAAAUCCAGUCGUCUGACCUCCUUGAUGCCUCCCAUGGUUAAAUCGUCUACAUUAUUGCUUUUAAAUGGGUACUUUUAUUUGCCAUUCACAGCACAAAACCUAAAUAAAAAUAUCCAGAGAACAAAUGGGGACGUUAAAUGAAAUGCAGUUGUAGCCACUCUGUUGAAGAAAUACAGUGAGUUUUUGAUGAUCCUUAGUCACUCUGUAGAAGAAAUCCAUGCAACAACUUUAACUCCAAUGUCACUGUCCAACUAUAAUAGCAAUGCCAAGUUUAGUUUCAGAAAACUCAUCAUAUCUUUUAUUUCUUAAAACACUAGGAUACAUUAUGCCAAGCAAAGUUUAAGCACAGAAAUGAACAUAAUGUAGUAAUAAAGAAACGAAAAUUUUGAUCUUUUAUUUGUUUACCCGAGAACAUGCAUACGAUGUAAUAACUCCCAAAACUCCAGACAGCCAGUUCUGCCACCACCAAGACCACCAUAAAAGCGAAUUCAGCAGAAAGAUAAUACUCAUAAUGCAGCACUUUGCCGCAACAUAAUCAAGAACCCCAUCCACCACCACCUGGAGUUAAAAUCUGAAGAAUUUCCCCAGCCUGCACCUCAACUGUGUUCUUACCUCCAAGGUAAACUCUGCGUUUAUCUUUUGUAAUCAGGUAAUUAGCCCCACGUGCACCGUCUUUUCCUCCUUUUAAACCUCUUGGUGCGUGAACUCGCCUCUCUGAAAGAAUGCUCACUACAACUGGUCGUCUGAACUCUAUCUCCCUUAUGAGCCCAUCACCACCUUUAUUAAGUCCACUUCCCCCACUGUUCUCUCUAAGUCCAAAUUUAUGCAAAAGAACGGGACACCUCUGCUCAAAAAUUUCUGGAUCAGUCAUACGGGUAUUAGUCAUAUGGCACUGGACUCCACUCGUCCCAUCCCAGCUUGGACCAGCCCCACUUCCACCCCCAAUUGUUUCAUAAUAACCGAAAGUAUUAUCCCCAAAAGUGAGAUUAUUCAUGCAACCCUGAGAGCAAGCACAGGCCUGAAAUGCAGUAAGUACAACAUCAGUUACUCUUUGAGAUGUGAGAACAUUACCUCCAACCACAGCAGCCUUCUCACUUGGAGAGAGGAAUGAUCCUGGAGGAAUAUAGAUUUUAACAGGGGCUAAGCAACCCUGGUUGAGAGGAAUAUCAACAUCCACCAAACAGCGAAGGCAGUAUAUGACUGAUGCAGCUGUUACUGCCUCUGGCGCAUUCCAAUUGCCAUACACCUCGGGGCUAGUCCCACUAAAAUCAAAAACUGCUUCCCCUCUCUCUGAAUCAAUAGUAAGUUUUAGAUGUAUCACAGACCCAUCAUCCAUGUAAUCAUCUUCCUCGAUGGUUACAGAAGUAUUCUCUUCAAAUCUAGCUGAUUGAGACGAAACUCUAGCAGCAACUGACUUGAGCAUUUCUCUCACUGCUGCUUCUGCAUUAAGCUGCACAUAGGUCAUGUAUGCCUGAACAGUGUCCAAACCAUACUGCUCAAUUAGUUCUUUGAUAAGGGAAAUUCCCCUCUGGUUUGCAGCCACUUGUGCAUGUAGAUCUGAUAGAUUAUCUUGAAGGCGGCGGCUUCCUGGGAUUUUACGAGCUGAUUCAUCAGAACAUGGGAACUUCAGAAGUUUGAUGAUUCCUUCCUCUUGAAAAACUCCUCUUUCCACAAGCUUAAAUGCUUUAAUUGCAGCUCCUUCUUCCCAUAUAGACUUUGAAAAUGGAGGCAUACUUCCCGGAGUAAUACCCCCAAUCUCUGCAUGAUGCCCUCUACUUGCAACAAAAAAAACCAGUUUACCCUUAUCAAAAACCGGCGUGAUGACAGUUAUGUCUGGAAGAUGGCUUCCUCCAGCACAAGGAUGAUUCGUAACCAACACAUCACCUUCAUUCAGAUUUUCACCCCAGUAAUUGAGUUGCCAUCGAACUGUACUUGACAUAGCUCCAAGGUGCACAGGUACAUGGGGAGCAUUAGCAACUAGUCCCCCAUCAGGACCAAAAAGAGCACAAGAAAAAUCUAGCCUUUCCUUGAUAUUUGUUGAAAUGGAAGUCCUCUGCAAAGUCCGUCCCAUUUGCUCAGCUAUCCCCAUAAACCUGUGAUUGAAAAUUGAGAGCUGUACAACAUCUGCAACUUUUUCAGAUAUUUUCACAGUGCUUAUAUUAGAUUCAAUUUCAAUUUUAAUGUUUCCAUAUUUGGUUAUAAUAGCUUUGCAAUUGGGCUCUACUAUGACAGUACUAUUUCCAUUCAUGAUAAUUGCAGGGCCAGGAAUAAUAUGUCCAGGCCCCAGAUUUUCAAGCUUGAAUAGAGGCGCAAGGUGCCAUCCCUUCCCAAAGUAAACGUUGUAGUGACCUUCCACUCUUGGGGAACCAGAAAUUGGUUCCAAGACCUGCGGCUUCAAUAUGUUAGUGACACCAACACCACGAACUCUUACAUCACAGAUAAGAAUAUUCCUGUUUUGCAGUUUGAAUCCAUAUUCCUGCUGGAAUAACUUUACAAAUUCCACAGCAUAGUCACAUACAGAUCCAUCUUUGUUUACAUGUCCCCUUACCAUGAUGGAAGUAUCAGUACCUUCAUACCUCAAAUUUAGAUACGUCUCUGUUGUAAUGUUUGCCUCUCUGAAUCCUUGAGCUUGCAACUUCUGCUUUACUUGCUUCAAUAACAUAUCUUUUCUGUGAGACGCCUCCAAGACAGAUUCAGGACCAUAGACAGCAGAAUAUGGUUCUUGUGCCUCUUCUACAACAUCUGCUAAUCCCAUACCAUACGCACUUAAGAUCCCACAGAACUUGUGAAUGAGAACUUCUUUCAUACCCAAUGACCUUGCAAUGGCACAAGCAUGCUGUGGACCAGCACCUCCAAAGCAAGCAAGAGCAUGGUUCCGUGUCUCAUGUCCUUUCAUCUCAGUUAACUGCCGUAUCGGACGGCACAUUGUUUCAUUUGCGACAUUGACAAAUCCCAGUGCAACAUCUUCCACUGUCAUGUCCUUUGCAGAUGGAUCCUGGCUCUUCCUAUAUGAAUUUAUUUGCUUUGCAAGCUUCUCAAAUUCUUCCCUAGUUGCCUUAAUAUCUAGAGGCUGAUCUUCGUUGGGGCCAAAAAUGGAUGGGAAAUAAUCAGGAAUAACAAAUCCUAGAAUAAGGUUAGCAUCAGUAACUGCCAAUUCCCCUCCUUUCCGAUAACAAACGGGCCCUGGGUGGGCACCCACUGAUUCUGGUCCUACCCGGAAAGCACCAAAUUGGAACUUCAACUUUGAUCCACCACCAGCAGCAACAGUAUUUAUAUCAAGCUGAGGUGCUUGUAUUAUGGCGCCAGCAAUCUGGGUUUCAAUAACUUGUUCAUAAAUCCCAGCAUAUCGGCUUACAUCAGUAGAUGUACCACCCAUAUCAAACCCAAUAAGGGGCUUUUCUGUUUCAAGUCCGAAAAGAGUCUGUGAGUAACCAACAACUCCACCUGCAGGACCUGAUAAAACGGCUUUAUGUCCUGAAAAUCUACUUUCAGGUGCAAGUCCUCCAUCUGAUUGCAUAAAUAGAACAUUCACCUUCCCCAGCCCGUCAUCAAAUCUAGAAAUGAACCCUGAUAAGUACUCUUUGAUGACAGGGGUCAAGUAAGCAUCCACACUAGCUGUUAGACCCCUAGGAACAGCUCGAACCAUAGGGCUCAAAGCUGAAGACAAGGAAACAUGUCUGAAACCCAAACUCACGGCUAACUUUUCCACAGCUAUUUCAUGCUGUGGAAAAGUGUAAGAAUGCAACAAUACAACGGCCAAACAGCUAAUCCCCUUCUCCAAUAAGCCUUCCAGCAGAGGUUUCAAAGCUUUUUCAUCAAGGGGUUUCACAACCCUGACAAGCUCACCAGACACUCCUUUAACUACUGAUGCUGAAAAAGAAUUUUGGUCAACUAGCUCCUCAUUGAGAACAAGUUGAACUCUUUCAUCAACCUCUACAAUCUCCUCAUAAAGAUUCGAGGGUUUUGAUACAGUGAGGUCAAAGAUAUUGGGUCGGGCCUGAUUACCAAUCUGAAGCAGAUCCUUGAACCCACGAGUCACACAAAGUGCAAUCCUUUCACCUUUUCUUUCCAAGAGAGCAUUAGUGGCCACAGUAGUACCCAUCCUUAUCCAAUCAAUCUUAUCAGUGGGAAUCUUUGAAGUUCUUGGAAUUUUCUCUCCAGUAUACUCUUCAAGAAUCCUACGAAUCCCUUCUACUGGAGCAUCAUCAUAAUUUGAUGGGUCAACAGACAAGAGUUUCAAAACUCGGCCAUCGGGAUGGCCAGGGAUUUCAGCAUAUACAUCAGUGAAGGUACCUCCUCUGUCAAUGCAAAAUCUGAGCCUUUCUUCAUUGACACUUCCCAUAUCUAGGUGUAUCCGAUUAAAAUCAAAUCUUCAAAUCAACAUGAAAACCCAAACAGAUAAAAACAUCAUUUUAGUAAGCCAGCCAAUCAAAUGACCUGAUUUUGUGCAUCAAAUCUAAGUGAAGACCCUGAUCAUAUAACACAAAGUUGGAUUUUCUAGCCUUUACUGCGAAGUCCUAUCCAGAAAAAGGAUUAACGAUUUUUCUUUUGAACAUAAAAUAAGAUAAGAAACCGUACCUGGGUUCACGUCGAUGACGGCGACCGCCGCUCGAGUAAAGUGAGCUCGAUGAAGGAAGCAAGGGUGUGAGCAAGCGCGUGAAAGGGAAUGGAAGACAUUGACAUCACAAGCGAUAAGAAUUAUUUAUUAUUAUCUGUUCUUUAUUCAACUUUGAAGAUAGGUGCGCAAGGACAGACACCAAGCGUGGAAGAUUUGUCGUGAUCGUGGAGGUUGCACUCCUGCGGCGAUGCUGCGACGUCGUUGCUUCUUUUGACACCGCAGCAUGUUUCCUUGAAU
Molecule: unclassified non-coding RNA, 4865 nt
Filed under: Hevea brasiliensis (rubber tree)
Lineage: Eukaryota; Viridiplantae; Streptophyta; Magnoliopsida; Malpighiales; Euphorbiaceae
Source: RNAcentral